UACAGAGGUCUCGAGCGUUAGGCGGAAUCACUGGGCUUAAAGCGUGUGUAGGUGGAUCGUUAAGUACCUUGUGAAAUCCCUCGGCUCAACUGAGGAACUGCCUUCGAUACUGUUCGGCUUGAGUCCUGGAGAGGGUAGCGGAAUUCCCGGUGUAGCGGUGAAAUGCGUAGAGACCGGGAAGAACACCAGUGGCGAAGGCGGCUACCUGGACAGGUACUGACGCUGAAGCGCGAAAGCUAGGGGAGCAAACAGG
RNAcentral lists this ribosomal RNA (253 nucleotides) under uncultured bacterium. RNAcentral describes it as "partial 16S ribosomal RNA". It matches the Rfam family "Bacterial small subunit ribosomal RNA", at positions 524 to 776 of the family's 1533-position model. The record is from RNAcentral.